CUUAAACAGAUUUACUUUCAGCUGUGGUCUCAUCUCUAUCACUGGCAUGAUCCUAAAAUAGCAUGUUAUAGAAUAGAACCUAAUAGCCUAAUACUGAAUAUUAAUUCAAUCAUACUGACGUUCCUUGGUUACCUUGCGGUGUCAAGUCAAGUAGCCUGCUUAAUAUUCAUAAGCCAAACCUUCACCGUGUUAGGAUUGGAUAAUGCGCGCGUUGGGGGAGGGCCCUCAUCACUCACGGCACUGAAGAGAGUGAGCACCGGUGGCGCAUCCACAACUCCCGUGUCCAUUCAAAACAGUCGGCAUUGUACAAGUGCAAGUCACGCACACGGAUAUACCGGCCGUGAGUCAGUCUGGAUACUUUUUGCAAGCAAUCUUUGUGAAGCUGAAGAGAUUACACUCAUAUGGAGUGAGGUGCUGUUGCUGUAAUGGAGCUCAGCAGGGGAGAGGUGCCACUUUAUGUGAGUCUGACAGAGCGAUUUUUUUUUUCUGAUGUCCUGUCACUCUCGGUUUAACUUAUGAAGUUCUAUUCUUUCAUUGUACGUUCAGGAUCUGUCCUUUCAAUUCUCUCAGGCUGCCAAAGGACAAAACUCAUUUAUUAAAGGCUUUACUUGUGCAUGAGUGAAAACUCCUCUAGAAACUGUUCUGGUUGUCCAAACUUCUGCAUUUUAUGGACAGCGUCUCUCAUAACCAUGUUUACAUUCUGUUUAUAAAAUUAUAGAUAACAGGAACAGAAAGUUUAAGUCUAACUUGCAUUCAAAUAGUGUGGUACAGUUUGUGUUUUCAGUUGUUUAUUACCUUAGUCUUGUGAAAUUGCCUCUCUGGAAGUAUUGUGUCUUAAAGAGAAACAAACCUGAAUAACUUUGAUAUUUUGAAAAAAGUUUCAACUGUUGUUCACAGUCAAAAUCAGUGGGGUUCAAAACAACACUGGACUCCACUGUCAUUCAUUGUGGAAAAAAGGGCAAAACAAAAGACACUAAAACAGUAUUCAAAAUGUCAUUUACAUCCUCUUACCCCUUGCAUAAAUAAUUUCAGAAUGCUAUGCUAAUGCUAAUAGAACCCAAAAGAAUACACUUUCUCUAAUCCCUAAGAUUUGUGAUUAAAUGGCUGUUAAAGUUUAUUACCUUCAUUAACUUCCCUUAGAUUAUUACUAAGAAAACUUUAGUACUUUAAACUAUAGUAAUUUACUGAAUCAUUUACCCAUUACAUUUGUACAAACUGACAGAAGCAAUUCUGCUGGAGUAACCUCGGUCACUCCUUGCAAGGUUCAAACCUUCAACCUUUUUAUUAGUAGCCCAAAUCUUUAAACCCUAGGCUACAGGAGUAGAUGUUUGAGAGGUGUUGAUCCCUGGACAGGAGGCCAUUGUGAAUCUGAAGCUCUCUUCAUCGUAUGCUGGCUCAGCUGUAUAAUAACACACAAUCCUUCUCUGUGACCUCAUUAUAAAAGAGGGGCACUAUGUGCUAGUUGUGUAAGCUUUUUAAGGUGUGUGUGACUAUGAUGGGGAUAAUGUGUUAUUGUAAGGGGAUAUGUUGAGAGUUUAAAGCAGACUUGCAUAGUGUCAACUCCCAACUCCCUGUACAGCACUGCAGACAAACAGUCUCAUUCACUCAGAGCUAAAAGCAAUUAGUGUGUGUGUUAAAUGCUUUCAGGUGUUCCUGGCCCCAUAUGUGGUACCUAGUGUGUUUGAGGAAGUGUUUUUUUACUUUCAAAUAUGUGCUGCUUGAUCAGUAGUCCAAAUAAAAGGUUUAUAUAUGUUUUAGAAGAUUUUAUU
Molecule: long non-coding RNA, 1769 nt
Organism: Cyprinus carpio (common carp)
Lineage: Eukaryota; Metazoa; Chordata; Actinopteri; Cypriniformes; Cyprinidae
Source: Ensembl